This 226-nucleotide unclassified non-coding RNA is filed under the name Hevea brasiliensis (rubber tree). Lineage: Eukaryota; Viridiplantae; Streptophyta; Magnoliopsida; Malpighiales; Euphorbiaceae. The record is from RNAcentral.
AGAAGUUAGGCAGAAAUCUCCAAGUGAGGAUUUUGAUUCUAAUUCCGAUGAAAUUCAUGACUGAUAGUCAAAAAGAAUGACGCGAAAGUAAUAUUUUAGAUUAGGGCAAUUGUAAAAAAAAAAGUCAAAUAUUUUGUCAUAUUUAUAUUCAUAACUUCAAUAUGUGUAAUUUGUACAUGAAAUAGCUAAAUCUUUAAAAUUGAAAUUGAAUUUGAAAAUUAAUGGU